RNAcentral lists this ribosomal RNA (233 nucleotides) under uncultured bacterium. RNAcentral's name for it is "partial 16S ribosomal RNA". It matches the Rfam family "Bacterial small subunit ribosomal RNA", at positions 794 to 1024 of the family's 1533-position model. The record is from RNAcentral.
UCCACGCCCUAAACGAUGAACACUAGUCGUCGGGAUGCUAGUCAUCUCGGUGAUGCAGUUAACACAUUAAGUGUGCCGCCUGGGGAGUACGGUCGCAAGAUUAAAACUCAAAGGAAUAGACGGGGACCCGCACAAGCGGUGGAGCAUGUGGUUUAAUUCGAAAAUACACGAAGAACCUUACCUAGCCUUGAUAUCCUUGGAAUCCUAUAGAGAUAUGGGAGUGCUAGUUUACU